RNAcentral lists this ribosomal RNA (253 nucleotides) under uncultured bacterium. RNAcentral's name for it is "partial 16S ribosomal RNA". It matches the Rfam family "Bacterial small subunit ribosomal RNA", at positions 524 to 776 of the family's 1533-position model. The record is from RNAcentral.
UACGUAGGCAGCAAGCGUUGUUCGGAUUCAUUGGGCGUAAAGGGUGCGUAGGUGGCGCCGUAAGUCAGGUGUGAAAUUUCGGAGCUUAACUCCGAAACUGCAUUUGAUACUGCGGUGCUUGAGGACUGGAGAGGAGACUGGAAUUUACGGUGUAGCAGUGAAAUGCGUAGAGAUCGUAAGGAAGACCAGUGGCGAAGGCGGGUCUCUGGCUCGACCCUGACGCUGAGGCGCGAAAGCGUGGGGAGCGAACGGG